UCAUUGUUCCAGCUUCCUCUUCAGGUAGUUUUACCUUCUUUUGGUUAUGAGAAUUACUGGAACAGAUAGUAAUUGUAUUGUAGGAUUUCAAUUUACACUUAGAUUUUUUGUAAUUAUUGCAUUUUGAUUAAUUCAGUUCCAAGUUAGUACUGCUAAGAGAGCUUUUUGGAAGAAAAAGAAUUAUUUUCUUUUUUUAGAUGAAUCAGAUGAAAAGAAUAAGUGGUAAAUUAUGUCUGGCAAUGGUAAGACUUUAGAAAGCAUACUACUAAGGGUUACAUAAUUUUUUACUGGGAAACAAGGUUUUAGAGAAUAAUGUAAAGCCAUCUGCUGAUGGGUCAUUCUGACUAUUCAGAUGACAUAUGCCUCUGGCUGAUUUCUCAUCUUACUGGAAACAAGUCUGGUAGAGGAAAAUGUGAUCUAUGUAUGUGGACCCCAUUCCCAUGCUUAACACCAUUUAAUAUGUUCUCAUGUCAGCUUUGUGGGUAAUUUUAACUCCAGGGAAAUACUAAGCCACACACCUGAGAUAACACUGGGACAAUGUUAUGCUUGACUGCUCUUUUCUAGCUUCUUCUCCCUUGUACUUUUGAUUCCUUAAGAUAGAGCUGGAUAAGUAGAAAAGGCUGCCAAGGGUGCAGAGAACAAGUCAGAGCCAUUCUUUACUGAUUUGUUUUAUUACACUUCUUCCUUAUAGGACAGAACAAGCCAUGCCCUUUGUACAGCCAGCAUGUUUAGACUUGGCUAGGGAGGAAUUUGAGUUGCCACCUCUAACAGCACAGGUUGCAGGGUGAGCAUCAAAUUAGCUAUGUGAACAUGGGGAUUUCAUGCAAGCAAAAGUUUGAAUGCAUUUACACAUUGGCAUUAUGUUGGAAAUCAGAGUCAGAUUACCAGUAGCCUGAAAAAUUGCCACAGGUUCAUUAUCCUGUAGGAUUUCUGCAUGGAAUUUGAAUGUAGAUCUCCAGGACCUGAUGGUCUUCUGAAACUACAGCUACUGUAGUAUGUAAAUAAGAAAAAGGCUACUGAGUGAUAUAUUUCCUGGAUUUCACAGAUAAAUAAUGUCCAGUUUUAGUUUAAAAGUGGCAUGUUCACUACUACUUUGGACUGUCCUGGGAUCUUCAAUCCAGAAGUAAAAUUUUAGUUACAAUUUCUUACUGGGACAGACUUAAAUAUGCCUGAAAGUUUCAUAAAAAGUAUUUAAAUCCUCUUACAAAGUUGCUAGAACAAAGCCUAUUAAUUCUAAAUUACUUCAUGGCUUUUUUCUUCUCUUGAUAAUACACCCUUGAGGAUGAUGGUGCCUCACUAUUGUAACUCAUCAAGCUAGAGGCAGUGCAGAUAUUAAUUACAUUUUUCUACAGUCAUCAUUAAAUAGUUUGUACUUCACACAGACACUGUGACCUCCAUGCAGUAAGUUAAUUGACGUUAAUAAUAGGAAAGUAGGAGACCAGAUUGCAGAAGUCAUUGCCUGAAAUCUGUGACUAGCAUAGUUGGAAAAUACACGAUCCUCUUUUCAUAUCCUUUCUUAGUCACUGUUCUACUUAAUCUCAGGAAGGGAAAAAUUGACUGUGGACGAACUUCCUGUAUCAUCUACUGCAACCCAGUUUGUUAGUGCAGCAUAAUUGAUCACAAUUUCAACAACUUCUCUGAAGCACCAUCCCUGAACUAGUUCAAAGGCAGCUGUCAUUACAGCAGAGUAUUUUUCCAAGUGUCUGCUGAAGAAGUUGCGCUGCCUGCUGAAAUUUCAUAGGUCACAUCGUUCCUUCCUAGUAGGAAAAGAAAUCAAGUGCAUUUAUUACUUCUUUUUUUUUCCCAGUUCCCCCUUAUGGGCAUUCAUUUUUGAAGAUGUUUUCACACUUUACCUGACCAUCAUGCUUUGUGACGUCUCAGGUGGAAGUACUGCAGAAACUGAGAUCCUUGCAAGGAAAGCCCACGUGUAGACCAACUUGCAACAGGGAAUGUGAAAUUGUCAAUAUAAACCUAUUUAAUCUCACAGAUAAAUUGAGGGAUGGGCUUUCAGUCAAUUUUACGCUCUUUUUUGCAAGCUGCAAAUACGAAGCUGUUUUCAAGUCCCCUUUGGUGUUCUGAUGAUGUCAGUAGAGUGGAGAACACUGUUACUGUCUACAUUUUCCUGAAGUGGAUACUGCAUAACAUUCUAUCACAUGCAUUAAAAAACAAAUAAAUAAACAAACAAAAACCUACCACCACCACCGCCAACAACAACAAAAAACACACUUGGAGCUUUGCAAAAGAGAAACUUUUCAAAAGAGAACAGGAUCUUGUAAUGGCAACCUGAAGGCAACUGAAGCCGGAAACAUCAUGUUUUCCACUUCUUUGUCUGUAUGCCAAGUAUGCAGCUUAUCUGAUUCACAGUAUGACUGUCCACAUUUAGUCCCGAACAGGCAUCCUCUGUAGUUCAAAAAAUUAAAUGUCUGGGCUUUCCAAAAGGCAAAGUACAAAAGGGACAUGUUUGACAAAAGGACUGGAUUUCACUGGGAUCAGAUCAAAGUUUUUUUCAGAAGAUUUCUACCAGUGCUAUCAAGAAGCAUUUUUAUUUUUCUUGUUCAGAUAGUGUCUUUGUGCAGCAUGUGCUUCUUUCCCACUCCUGCAGUACAAGCUAGAGAAUGUUUAUCAACUGCAUAUUUAUUUCUUACUCUCUAGGUGUUACUUACAUGUGAUGGCUUUUGCUUCUUUGUGUGUAUGUCUGAGCAUACACAUGAUUGAAUGAAGAAGCACAGUUCUCAAUUGUAUUUCAUACUCGGGAAGGAAUGUGAAUGUCAUCCAUCUUAGUGCUAGGUUUACAUAAGUUUAUAUAAUUGUUGUUUUUUUUUUCUUUAUCACACUUCUUCCCACAUACAUCCAAAGAGAAAGUUGUCUGUACAGUACUAUCAGAACUUGAACUACAGCACAAAAAUGGCUUAUAGGAAAGAUGCAUUAGAUCCUUCAUAGUGUCUCUGAGGCAGCAGUCACACUGGCAGCAGGCGCUGAUCAGAGAGCAGGCUUGGGAUCACACUAAGCAGCAGUGUGUGGCAGAAACAGCCAAAUCUUGCCCAAAGUUCAUGGACUAGCAUGGAUGAACUUGGACCUGAGUGCAGGUUUGGGUCUGUAUCUGCAAUGCAGUGUAGAUGUAUCCAGAACAAGCCAUGUUUAUAUAAAACCCAACUAACAAAGAGCGUGCAUAUCAUGCAUAAAGCAAAACAAGAAAACUUUAUCCAAUGCAAAAUUAACUUUUUGUAUGGUAAUGACAAGUCAUUAGUUUCUCUUCAUAGAUAACAGUAGUUUGCCGUGGGGCACAAGUUUGCAGGGAGGAAAACCUUCUCUGUAUACCUCUGCCUCUGCAACUUCACUGCUGAUAUCAAUCAGCUGAUUUGGAGACACUGUAGAUGGGUGGUGUCAGAUAUUCUAUUUUGGGGAAUGGUGGUCUAUGCUCAGCUGGGAAGUAAAUCAAAUUUUGUCACGGUAAAUCUUCCAUUAAACUUAUGUUUAAAUUGGAGUCUCUGCUUUACAACUUAGUGAGCUCUGUUAAAAUAGUAAGAGAGAAGAGUAAAGAUAUCUCCAAUAACUGAUUGGUGAUUUAAGUCAUCUAUAACAGAAGUAACUGAUACCUAUUAAUAAAAAGCCUCCCCCUUGAAAGACAACAGAGAGUAAUUUCCAUCUCAAAUUCACACAAAAUCUGCCAUUCCCUGUGAGUUCUUACUGAUUCUCAUUACAAAUAUUUAUCAAUAUUCUGACAGUAAAUUAGAAAACAAAAUUGAAUAGGCUUGAACCUCCUUUCAAUUCCUGCUGCAAUUUACACAGCAUAUGCUCUCCUGUCAGGCUCACAAGCUGAAGUGAUAUCCUACUCCUGGCACGCCAUCUAGUUUCCUCUGCAAUUAUGACUAGAAAUCUACCCAGAAUAGAUCCACACCUUUGGGGACCUCAAUCUCCCUCUGGAAUUCAAUAUAAACUGGGAAUGUCCAGAAUCCCAGCUCUGUGCAAAAGUGGAGCAGCCUGCAGCAAGCCACUAAGCUGCCCUGGCUGCCCUGCUGCCCAGCUGUAUUUGGGACAGCAGCUGUGAGGAGUUAAAGCCCCCAUUUCUGGUCCAAGCUCAGUGUGUGCUGUGAGCACACUCCUGAAUAUUAGUUCCCUUGUACCUACUUGUCUUUGAGACAACAGACUCUUUAGACUACAGUGUCUGGCACUAUUUUAAACACAGCUACAAAUAGCAUUUUUCUAUUAUAAUAAAUAGUUUUCUUAUAUUUUUUCCUCCAAUCAGUUCUAGUUUCCUACAGUGUUUUGUUAUCUCAUUGACACUUUCACAUUUAGUCUCCUUAUUGUUCCAGUUUAAAGCCAAAAUAGAUGAACAGCCUAUGCUGGUUUUCCUCCUUCUGAGCUGUUUCUUCUCUUACGACACAUCUAAAAAUGAAUAAUCCAUUUGUUUUUAAAAGUGCUAAAAUUAUUUCCUUAUAGAGCAGACGAAUAGUGAAAGAAUUCUGGUGUUAAAAGCUUAGAAUGCAAUAAGAUUUAUAGUGCAUUAUAUAAAGUACUGAAUACUUUUAUGAAGGUAACAGCAUUCACUCAUUACUGAGAGGCUGGUUUUGAACUGCUGACCUGAAAGAUAAAAAGAAGAUGGGAUCAUUCUCUGGAGUGAGCUCCAAUAAAGAAACAGAAUUGGCAGAGAGAGUUUUGAAGAAACAACAGAUAUUUCACAGUCAAGGAGAGGAGCUAGUAUCAUCACGAACAAACAAAAUAAUUGUUGUAAGAAGUGCUUUCAGCAAAACAUGAAAAGGUAGAUGGAUUUUCAAUUGUCAGUAAAUAACAUGUGUCAUACCUUUGCAUUUUUUUCUUCCUGAAACAUGGACAUUAUAAGGAGAGUCUUUCUUUUGGAUAGUAAGUUGUAAGAUUAUAAAUAUUGAUCAUAUGACUAGAAGAAGAAGUAAAUGUUCUAACACGGUUUGUGUGAUCUUUUUGCUGUUGUUUCUGACAGUGCUUAGAUCAAUUAGAAUUUACAAGCAUUAUUCAUUAUCUGUCAUAACAGUAAGUUGGACUGUGACUUUGUUUUAUGUCCUUGGAUAUCUGAGGCAAUACUGAAUAGUGUCUGAUGGCAAGGAGUUCUUUCUGUAGCAAUCAACCAAGAAUGAGGAGAUGGCCUUGGAAGUGAUUCCUUUGCUCCAUGAUUGCAGUGUUUUACCCUUUUCUAUUCAUGGUGAGAAAAGCUGUGACUUGAGAAAGUCAUGCCUCAGACUAAGAAUCAAGUCCUUUUAUUCUGUCUUAGCUUGCACUAUGUCCUUUCUCUGUUUAUAAUUAAAAUGUUUUUCUAAAUUUUAUCUCAAUCACUUAUUUUCUUGGAUCAAGGAAAUUCAUGUACGUGUACUCCUGCACAAGGCAAUCUGCUCACCUACCUUCAUGCUGAAUUUAAAACUGCCUAUUUAGUACUACAGUACUCUCUAUGUUUUUAUGCAUGCAGUCUGUCAUCAUUUGAAUUUCCUCAGGGUUCCCAUGCCCCUACCCCUCACUAAGGAGCUGUCAUUUCUCUUCCUCAUCCCACAGACUUGUCCUGACAUUCUGAAGAGCUCUGUUCUCUUAAAGAAAAAAAAAAAAAA
Molecule: non-coding RNA, 5573 nt
Organism: Meleagris gallopavo (turkey)
Lineage: Eukaryota; Metazoa; Chordata; Aves; Galliformes; Phasianidae
Source: RefSeq, a predicted model, not a curated record